RNAcentral lists this ribosomal RNA (435 nucleotides) under uncultured eukaryote. RNAcentral describes it as "bacterial SSU rRNA". It matches the Rfam family "Eukaryotic small subunit ribosomal RNA", at positions 203 to 618 of the family's 1831-position model. The record is from RNAcentral.
UCGCCGGAUGUAGGAACCGACCCGGGGACCGCCGGGGGCAACCCCGGCGCCCCCGAGACGGGGCGAACCACGGUGAAAUGACGGAUCGUCGGCCCCGCGCCGGCGACUCGCCGAAUGAGUUUCUGACCUAUCAACUCGAGACGGCGGGGUAGAGGCCCGCCGCGGUAACGACGGGUAACGGGGAAUCAGGGUUCGAUUCCGGAGAGGGAGCCCCGAGAAACGGCUACCACUUCCAAGGAAGGCAGCAGGCGCGCAACUUACCCUAAUCUCGAUUCGAGGAGGUAGUGACAAGAAAUACCGAUGCGGGACCCUACGGGUGCCGCGUUCGGAAUGAGUACGAUUCGAACCACCUAACGAGGAACGAUCGGAGGGCAAGUCUGGUGCCAGCAGCCGCGGUAAUUCCAGCUCCAAUAGCGUACGUUAAAGUUGCUGCAG